This 1484-nucleotide long non-coding RNA is filed under the name Anolis carolinensis (green anole). RNAcentral's name for it is "lncRNA (ENSACAG00000038270.1)". The record is from RNAcentral. Lineage: Eukaryota; Metazoa; Chordata; Lepidosauria; Squamata; Anolidae.
AUGCGUUGUUAUGAGUUUUGUGGGUCCGGAUUGUGGUUUUGUGGUGUGAUUGUGUUGUUACAACCGGGAGGGAAGGCUUUUGUGUUGAGUUUUGUGGGUCCGGAUUGUGGUUUUGUGGUCUGGUUGUGUUGUUAUAACUGGGAGGCAAGGCUUUUGUGUUGUGUUGCCAAGUUUUGUAUUUCUGGGGCGUUUAGUUGUUGUGUUAUAGUCAUGAUGUGUUGUUGUGAGUUUUGUGGGUCUGGAUUGUGGUUUUAUGGUCUGGUUGUGUUAUAAACGGGAGGCAAGGCUUUUGCAUUGUGUUGCCAAGUUUUGUCUUUCUGGGAUGUUUAGUUUUGUUGUUAUAGUCACUGUGCAAACAACUUUAUCCUUUUAUAUUUAUAGAUAUAUAUGUGUGUGUGUAUACACACACACACACACACACAUAUAUAUACAUAUAUACAAUAUAAUUUACAAUAAUAUAUAAUAUUAUAAUAUAUUGUAUAUACAUAUAAUAUUAAUAAUAUUAUUUUGUAAUACAAUAUAUUACUAAUAAUACAAUAUAAUAAUAUUAUAUAUUACAUGUAAUAUUAUUAAUACUACAAUAUAUAGAUAUAGUACAAUAUGGUAAUUUAUUUCAGAGUAAUUUGCAGUGCAGCAGUAGUUGGAUGGAAUCAGUGGAAUGCAGAAUGAAGAGACAUCAGAGAUGAUGGUAAAACUAUAUACAAAGUUUUACUGAAAGCAGUAAUAAAGACAAACAGGCUUGCAGACAAUAGACGAACACAGGACUUGACUCAACUCAGAACAGAACAGAACUGAUGCAAUCAGUAAUGCACACACACUUGUGUCUGGACAUUCCCCAGCUCCAGCCACACAUCAUCAUCAUCAUCAUCAUCAUCAUUAUUUAAUUACUUAUUAAUCGCCCUCCAUCCACGAUGCUCUAGGCAAUUUACAAGAUAAAAUUGUAAAGGAUAAAAAUAUAUACAUACAAAUAUUGAUAAAAUUAACAUAGAUUAAAAGCUCUAGUAAAGAGCCCGGUCUUGAGUGCUAGGGUAAAAGGCCCCAACUCACACAUGGCUCUCAUAUAGGGCGGCAAGGCAUUCCAUAAGGCAGGGGCUCUGCGUCUGGUCCUUUCCAAGUGCACUUCUCUAGGACCCGGUACAUAAAGUAAGUCUCGUUGGGAUGGUCGUUGCGACCUCCGAUGAUGGGAGAAGGAGAGACGGUCCCUAAGGUACAAUGGGCCCUGGUCGUAAAGAGUUUUAAAGGUCAGAACUAGCAUCUUAUAUAGACCACAGUAAUCAGUUGGAAGCCAAUGCAGAUGCUGCAGCACUGGUGUUAUAUGGCAUUUCAAGGGUGUUCUUGUGAGUAGCCUGGCUGCCGCAUUCUGAACAAUACGGAGCUUUCGGGUCGUAGACAUCGGAAGGCGAACAUACAGGGCGUUGCAAUAGUCCAGCCUAGAUGUGACCGUGGCAUGGAUGACUGUUGCCAGAGCCUCAUCAGAUAGAUAG